RNAcentral lists this ribosomal RNA (429 nucleotides) under Acidobacteriota bacterium. RNAcentral's name for it is "Acidobacteria bacterium partial 16S ribosomal RNA". It matches the Rfam family "Bacterial small subunit ribosomal RNA", at positions 355 to 776 of the family's 1533-position model. The record is from RNAcentral. Lineage: Bacteria; Pseudomonadati; Acidobacteriota.
UGGGGAAUUUUGGACAAUGGGGGAAACCCUGAUCCAGCCAUCCCGCGUGUGCGAUGAAGGCCUUCGGGUUGUAAAGCACUUUUGGCAGGAAAGAAACGUCAUGGGUUAAUACCCCGUGAAACUGACGGUACCUGCAGAAUAAGCACCGGCUAACUACGUGCCAGCAGCCGCGGUAAUACGUAGGGUGCAAGCGUUAAUCGGAAUUACUGGGCGUAAAGCGUGCGCAGGCGGUUCGGAAAGAAAGAUGUGAAAUCCCAGGGCUCAACUUUGGAACUGCAUUUUUAACUACCGGGCUAGAGGGUGUCAGAGGGAGGUGGAAUUCCGCGUGUAGGAGUGAAAUGCGUAGAUAUGCGGAGGAACACCGAUGGCGAAGGCAGCCUCCUGGGAUAACACUGACGCUCAUGCACGAAAGCGUGGGGAGCAAACAGG